RNAcentral lists this ribosomal RNA (930 nucleotides) under uncultured bacterium. Its description in RNAcentral is "bacterial SSU rRNA". It matches the Rfam family "Bacterial small subunit ribosomal RNA", at positions 33 to 968 of the family's 1533-position model. The record is from RNAcentral.
ACGCUGGCGGCGUGCUUAACACAUGCAAGUCGAACGAUAAAGCCUAGCUUGCUAGGUGGAUUAGUGGCGAACGGGUGAGUAAUACGUGAGUAACCUACCUUUAACUCUGGGAUAAGCCUGGGAAACUGGGUCUAAUACCGGAUACGACCAAUCUCCGCAUGGAGUGUUGGUGGAAAGCGUUAUGUAGUGGUUAUAGAUGGGCUCACGGCCUAUCAGCUUGUUGGUGAGGUAACGGCUCACCAAGGCGACGACGGGUAGCCGGCCUGAGAGGGUGACCGGCCACACUGGGACUGAGACACGGCCCAGACUCCUACGGGAGGCAGCAGUGGGGAAUAUUGCACAAUGGGCGCAAGCCUGAUGCAGCGACGCCGCGUGAGGGAUGACGGCCUUCGGGUUGUAAACCUCUGUUAGCAGGGAAGAAGAGAAAUUGACGGUACCUGCAGAGAAAGCGCCGGCUAACUACGUGCCAGCAGCCGCGGUAAUACGUAGGGCGCGAGCGUUGUCCGGAAUUAUUGGGCGUAAAGAGCUUGUAGGCGGUUUGUCGCGUCUGCUGUGAAAGGCCGGGGCUUAACCCCGUGUAUUGCAGUGGGUACGGGCAGACUAGAGUGCAGUAGGGGAGACUGGAACUCCUGGUGUAGCGGUGGAAUGCGCAGAUAUCAGGAAGAACACCGAUGGCGAAGGCAGGUCUCUGGGCUGUAACUGACGCUGAGAAGCGAAAGCAUGGGGAGCGAACAGGAUUAGAUACCCUGGUAGUCCAUGCCGUAAACGUUGGGCACUAGGUGUGGGGGACAUUCCACGUUUUCCGCGCCGUAGCUAACGCAUUAAGUGCCCCGCCUGGGGAGUACGGCCGCAAGGCUAAAACUCAAAGAAAUUGACGGGGGCCCGCACAAGCGGCGGAGCAUGCGGAUUAAUUCGAUGCAACGCGAAGAA